Molecule: small nuclear RNA, 104 nt
Filed under: Prolemur simus (greater bamboo lemur)
Lineage: Eukaryota; Metazoa; Chordata; Mammalia; Primates; Lemuridae
Source: RNAcentral
GUGCCCGCUUCGGCAGCACAUACACUAAAAUUGGAACAAUACAGAGAUUAGCAUGGCCCCUGAGCAAGGAUGACACGCACAUUCGUGAAGCGUUCCAUAUUUUU